CGAUGAAACCGCCCUCGGGCGGACAUGAAGUGGCGAACGGGUGAGUAACACGUGACCAACCUGCCCCUUGCUCCGGGACAACCUUGGGAAACCGAGGCUAAUACCGGAUACUCCUCGCCCCCCUCCUGGGGGGCCCGGGAAAGCCCAGACGGCAAGGGAUGGGGUCGCGGCCCAUUAGGUAGUAGGCGGGGUAACGGCCCACCUAGCCCGCGAUGGGUAGCCGGGUUGAGAGACCGACCGGCCACAUUGGGACUGAGAUACGGCCCAGACUCCUACGGGAGGCAGCAGUGGGGAAUUUUGGCGCAAAUGGGGGGAAACCCUGACGCAGCAACGCCGCGUGCGGGGACGACGGCCUUCGGGUUGUAAACCGCUUUCAGCAGGGAAGAAAUUCGACGGUACCUGCAGAAGAAGCUCCGGCUAACUACGUGCCAGCAGCCGCGGUAAUACGUAGGGAGCGAGCGUUAUCCGGAUUCAUUGGGCGUAAAGAGCGCGUAGGCGGCCUCUCAAGCGGGAUCUCUAAUCCGAGGGCUCAACCCCCGGCCGGAUCCCGAACUGGGAGGCUCGAGUUCGGUAGAGGCAGGCGGAAUUCCCGGUGUAGCGGUGGAAUGCGCAGAUAUCGGGAAGAACACCGAUGGCGAAGGCAGCCUGCUGGGCCGCA
RNAcentral lists this ribosomal RNA (658 nucleotides) under uncultured Actinomycetes bacterium. RNAcentral describes it as "bacterial SSU rRNA". It matches the Rfam family "Bacterial small subunit ribosomal RNA", at positions 67 to 738 of the family's 1533-position model. The record is from RNAcentral. Lineage: Bacteria; Bacillati; Actinomycetota; Actinomycetes.